RNAcentral lists this long non-coding RNA (292 nucleotides) under Elaeis guineensis (African oil palm). RNAcentral describes it as "long non-coding RNA (EGUI_LNC021781)". Lineage: Eukaryota; Viridiplantae; Streptophyta; Magnoliopsida; Arecales; Arecaceae. The record is from RNAcentral.
UUUCUCUUCUCUUCUCGUGUUCACUAUUUUUCAUGUCCAUGGAUCUUUUUAUUAUGGAUAAAAGGCUAGAGUACCACGGGCUCCUUUUCCGCAUCCAUCCAGAGAGGCUUCUCGGCGCACAAAGGCUUCCGCGCGCUUUCCGUGACGCUAUGGUUCCGUGCGUAAACAAGGCUUCCGCAACACCACCAGCGUCGUCCCGGGUUUUCGUGCAGCGGUGGGUCCCAUGUGAGGAGGGACCACACCAACCCAAGCAAAAUGAAGGAAGCACAGCAUCGUCCCGGUUGGCAGGACC